Molecule: ribosomal RNA, 569 nt
Filed under: uncultured Ehrlichia sp.
Lineage: Bacteria; Pseudomonadati; Pseudomonadota; Alphaproteobacteria; Rickettsiales; Anaplasmataceae
Description: bacterial SSU rRNA
Rfam family: Bacterial small subunit ribosomal RNA
Source: RNAcentral
AUGCAAGUCGAACGGACAAUUAUUUAUAGCUUUUGGCUAUAGGCAAUUGUUAGUGGCAGACGGGUGAGUAAUGCGUAGGAAUCUACCUAGUAGUACGGAAUAGCCAUUAGAAAUGAUGGGUAAUACUGUAUAAUCCCCGCGGGGGAAAGAUUUAUCGCUAUUAGAUGAGCCUACGUUAGAUUAGCUAGUUGGUAAGGUAAUGGCUUACCAAGGCUAUGAUCUAUAGCUGGUCUGAGAGGACGAUCAGCCACACUGGAACUGAGAUACGGUCCAGACUCCUACGGGAGGCAGCAGUGGGGAAUAUUGGACAAUGGGCGAAAGCCUGAUCCAGCUAUGCCGCGUGAGUGAAGAAGGCCUUCGGGUUGUAAAACUCUUUCAAUAGGGAAGAUAAUGACGGUACCUAUAGAAGAAGUCCCGGCAAACUCUGUGCCAGCAGCCGCGGUAAUACGGAGGGGGCAAGCGUUGUUCGGAAUUAUUGGGCGUAAAGGGCACGUAGGUGGACUAGUAAGUUAAAAGUGAAAUACCAAAGCUUAACUUUGGAGCGGCUUUUAAUACUGCUAGACUAGAGG